GACAGAGGGUGCAAACGUUGUUCGGAAUUACUGGGCGUAAAGCGAGUGUAGGCGGUCUCGUAAGUCGGGUGUGAAAGCCCUGGGCUCAACCCAGGAAGUGCACUCGAAACUGCAGGGCUGGAGUCCGGGAGAGGAGGGUGGAAUUCCCAGUGUAGCGGUGAAAUGCGUAGAUAUUGGGAGGAACACCGGUGGCGAAGGCGGCCCUCUGGACCGGUACUGACGCUGAUGCGCGAAAGCGUGGGGAGCAAACGGG
RNAcentral lists this ribosomal RNA (253 nucleotides) under uncultured bacterium. RNAcentral's name for it is "partial 16S ribosomal RNA". It matches the Rfam family "Bacterial small subunit ribosomal RNA", at positions 524 to 776 of the family's 1533-position model. The record is from RNAcentral.